RNAcentral lists this ribosomal RNA (492 nucleotides) under uncultured bacterium. RNAcentral describes it as "partial 16S ribosomal RNA". It matches the Rfam family "Bacterial small subunit ribosomal RNA", at positions 29 to 507 of the family's 1533-position model. The record is from RNAcentral.
AGUGAACGCUGGCGGUAGGCCUAACACAUGCAAGUCGAACGGCAGCACAGUAAGAGCUUGCUCUUACGGGUGGCGAGUGGCGGACGGGUGAGGAAUACAUCGGAAUCUACUUUUUCGGGGGGGAUAACGUAGGGAAACUUACGCUAAUACCGCAUAUGACCUACGGGGGAAAGCACGGGAUCUUCGGACCUUGCGCGAUUGAAUUAGCCGAUGUCGGAUUAGCUAGUUGGCGGGGUAAAGGCCCACCAAGGCGACGAUCCGUAGCUGGUAUGAGAGGGUGAUCCGCCAGACUGGAACUGAGACAGGGUCCAGACACCGACGGGAGGCAGCAGUGGGGAAUAUUGGAGAAUGGGCGAAAGCCUGAUCCAGCCAUACCGCGUGGGUGAAGAAGGCCUUCGGGUUGUAAAGCCCUUUUGUUGGGAAAGAAAAGCAGCAGGUUAAUCCCCCGCUGUUCUGACGGUACCCAAAGAAUAAGCACCGGCUAACUUCGUG